ACUCAAAGGAAUAGACGGGGACCCGCACAAGCGGUGGAGUAUGUUGUUUAAUUCGAUGCUACGCGAGAAACCUUACCGACCCUUGACAUCGUGGACGCGAUUUCCAGAGAUGGAUUUCUUCAAUUCGGUUGGUCCAUAGACAGAUGCUGCAUGGCUGUCGUCAGCUCGUGUCGUGAGAUGUUAGGUUAAGUCCUGCAACGAGCGCAACCCACGCCCUUUGUUGCCAGCGGGUAAUGCCGGGAACUCUAAGGGGACUGCCCGAGUCAAUCGGGAGGAAGGCGUGGAUGACGUCAAGUCAUCAUGGUUCUUACGGGUCGGGCUACAAACGUACUACAAUGGCGAUAACAGAAGGUCGCGAAGCCGCAAGGCAAAGCCAAUCCAGAAAAAUCGCCCCAGUUCAGAUUGCCCUCUGCAACUCGAGGACAUGAAGUCGGAAUCGCUAGUAAUCGCGGAUCAGAAUGCCGCGGUGAAUACGUUCCCGGGUCUUGUACACACCGCCCGU
RNAcentral lists this ribosomal RNA (502 nucleotides) under uncultured bacterium. Its description in RNAcentral is "bacterial SSU rRNA". It matches the Rfam family "Bacterial small subunit ribosomal RNA", at positions 899 to 1397 of the family's 1533-position model. The record is from RNAcentral.